RNAcentral lists this unclassified non-coding RNA (5949 nucleotides) under Melitaea cinxia (Glanville fritillary). RNAcentral describes it as "misc RNA ENSMCXG00005020446.1". The record is from RNAcentral. Lineage: Eukaryota; Metazoa; Arthropoda; Insecta; Lepidoptera; Nymphalidae.
AGCUGCUGCGCGUCGUGGCCUACGUGGCGGCCGCGUGGGACGACGUGGUGCGCUGCGGCGGCGGCGCCGUGCGCUACUUCAGCGAGUAGCGGCGACGCGAGCGCGACCCGACAUUACACCGACGGCGCCGGUGUUGUACGCUGAAGUGAAAUGUUAUUCUCGACGUUUGGACUUUAGCCGUGAGAGACGGUUUUCAUUCGUUCGAAUGACGAACGUUUUGCGAGUUUCCGAUUCGGUGCAUCGGCGGUCGAUCUCCGGAGGGAACUGCGCGCCGCCGUUCAAACUGAUCGGUAUCGUUGUGACAUUCGAGUCGUAACUGAAAUAUAUUUCGUUCGCGCUUUGUACCCGAGACGGAGCCAGAGCAUUUAAUAAUUGUAAUAAAAGUUUCAUCUCACUUAGGGCGGAGUUCACCGACUAUCGUUUAACCAAUGUUUGAGUAAUCAGCCGAUGAAUUCCUAAACAUCGGUUGUGCACCCGGUAAAGUAUUCACUGUUCAUCACGAAUAUUUUAACCGUGGUUACUAAAUCAGGCAAUCACCAUACGCUCACAGCGAAUGAACCACUAAUGAAUGAAUGCUAUAAGUCACAGUAUACUCAUUAGGGAAGUCACAUAGUUGUAUUUAGUCGACACGAGUUUUGGUGCUAUCUAUAGUUAGUAGCAUAAAAUAAAACGGUUUCAACUUGAGAAGUUCGAAAACGCAUUGGAUACUGUUACGUUAGCAUGUAGUGUCCAAUUUGGAUGGGUAAUAACGUCACGGCGCUGCCAUUGUCAAAUAUAUUUUUUUUAUUAUUUCUUUGCACGUGCUAACAUUCUCUGUGUUGAUUAUUAUUUUGUUCUGUUGUGAGUGUUUAAUUUUUAAAUUACGGUUUACUUGAAAAAUGGCAGCUUUAAAAAAGAGAACAAACGAUUUUUCAAGCGAUGAUUUUGACAAACGGAAUCUAGUUUUAAAUGAGGAAUCAUUGUAUUCUUCGUAAUAAUUACGACGCAUUUGAAACAGGUACUCUAGGUCUCAAUAUUUUCUAGAUUUUCAAGAAGGCCUAAAGUCUUGAUAGUUAUCAAUUAAUACAUUGAAAUUGAACACUGACUGCGUGUUUAUCUCUUACCAAAAACUUUCAACUAAUAACGUAAUGUUGCAACUGUUGUAAAGUCACAGCAGAAUCUGUUAAGCAGAUGUCCGAAUAUGGCAUUGAUGGACGGUUAAACAAUGCUGUAGAGUUCGGUUAUAGUAAUCGGCUGUUUAAGGGCUGUAAACACUGGUUAACGUAUGGUAAACAGUAAAAAUGAUUUAAUCAGUUGUUUAACUGAUAAACAGCCGUUUUAAAAGUCGGUGAACUCCGCCCUUAAACGAAAUUCAAUAUUACAAUCUCGUUUACGUUACCGGCGGUCUACCGCCAGCGAGCUCCCGCGCCGAGCUCGGACGCUUAGACACAUGUCGCAGUGUGCGGACGCCGGGCCGUGCCGAAUGUGACGAGCUCAUUUUGUUUCUGUUGCUGUUUUACUGUGCUCGGACUAUGUUACAUAACUACGAUUACAAUAUAUCCUCUCUUACUACUUAUAAUUUGUUAUGUAAUUUUAAGUUUUACUAUAUUACAUGUAAAUAAUAAACUAGUAAGUCGUAAUGCCAUGAGUGAAAAGGGGCUCUUAUUCGUUUCAUUGUUACGAUUCUUGUAAUCUACCAAUCGAGUCACUAUAAUUAAAAAUGUUUCGUAUUAUUUGAGAUCAAUAACUCGAGAUUGGAUACGAGCUUCCGUACUGAAUGCGAUUUAAAUAUAUAUUUCCGACACUUAUGAUAUGUAUUGAAGAUUGAUUAUUACAUCAAACAAAUGUAUUAAAAAAAAAUUAAGUAUUGCAUACUGUUCCACUUCUAGUAAACGAAAGGAAUUGACUGACAACAUGUCGGAGACUAAAAGAUAUUUGCCUCGGACUGUUGUACUAUAUAAGUAAAAUUCGCUUAUAGUUUGCCCGCAUGAUAAUUGGUAGCUCGAUUUGUGUUCAUAACUUUUCAAAUUAUUUAUCUCAUGUCUUCCAAAAAUCAUCAUGAGCUUAACUUUGUUUUGAUAAUACAUAAAACGUAAAAGUUCUCCAUAUAUACUUUUAUCAUUGUAUCAACAUAACAAUCAAUUUGUACACAUGUAUUAUAAAAUUUAAAUUAUAACAAUUUGAGGUUAUCCAUCAAUCACGUCGGGCUCGGAAAAGAUUCGAAAAGGGGUUGUAAUGAGGGGUUAUCACGUGUAAUAUCUUUCGUUGAAGGCGCGAUUUCUAAACGAAACAAAAAACUAACAAACACCUCGCAACCCUAAUGUCUCUCUGGACAUUUUUCAUAACAUGCUUAAUUUUCCAAUAUUUUAUUAGAUUAGGUACAUGUACUCGUGUUGUAAGAUAAUAUUUUGAAAACUUUUUACCAAAAAAUAUAGUCAUGAUUUUUGUGUACGGAGCGGAGGGUAGUCUAAAACCUCACCACGCUAAAAACACAACGUGAUUAACGGAUGACCCCAUUUGCUAAAGGCUCGUAUUUUCCAGUCAUCUAGUUCAAAAGUCACUCAAUUGGAUGGCUGGCUUAUUCUUUGAAAAAUUUUCCAUUCGCCACGAUUUGUAGUUUAAACAUAGUCAAGGCUUUGUUUAAAGUCACAGCUUAAGUCUCCAUAGUCACUAUGUACAUAUGUAUAGCUGAACGUCCCGCUAUCACGCUAAUAUCGUUAGCUGUAUGGCGUUGUUCAUUCAAAGGGCUAACUAGCUGUUUAAUUGAAUGGCUAUUUCAACAAGCUGACUGCGAUACGUUCAUAUAACUCAUAUCCUCCUUAUAUAUGUAUUACAUAAUUAUUAAAUAUUUCGACGAUGAAGAAAAACCGGGGCUCAAACUUGAUUUUUAUAUGUUAUCAAAUAUUACGAUAUGGGUUACUAAUAUUGUUUCUUACUUUCCUCGUCUAAGCUAUUCAUAAAAUUGACUGAAUUUAUAAGACCCAAAGCUAGUCCACAUAUAUGAAAAAUAAAAAUAUUAAAAAAAACAUAUUUUUGUGAGCAUAGUUAUAAUUAAAUUACUAUUGAUUCUUGUAAGUAGGUGAACGAUUAGUUAUUAAAACGUGUUGUUAAUAACUGUCUUAAUAUAAAUUAUAAAUGUAAUGAACAUAAUACAGUAAAGCUAUUAUUAUUGCACCUAAUCGUGUGUGAUGUAAGUUUAAAACAUUAAUCCGCUCAUUGUAGCUGUAAUUUAAUAAAUUUCGUUAUGUAUUUUACUGUAUGCGUCGUUCUCUGCUUGAAAAUUUAUUAUUGAUAAUGUAAUAAAUAAUUUUUUUAUUUUAUUUUAUUAUAUUCGAAGAAUAGAAAAAUUUAUCGUGAAAAAUGUUUAUUUUAAUAAGAAAACGAAUGAAAAACUGAUUUGACGAUCUACUUGUAUUUCUGGCGUCGAUACAGAAGACAUUUUGUUUUGUAAUUUUUCGCGUUACCAUACAGUGUACAAAGUUAUCGUAUAGGUGUUGCGUAUUUAUAGUAGAUGAUGACCAGUUAGGCGAGAGACGUCAGAAUCAAAACAGCAUUACAGUUAUUCGGUAACGUCUACGAAACUCGUGCAGGGCCAGAUCUAACAUAUGGCUUUUUGAGCUUCAGCCCAGGGCCCCGUGGAUGCAAGGAGCCCUCAGCUAAGUCAUGUCCAAGUCAGAAAUAGACGAUGAUGUGAAAGAAUCCAUAAUUUUAUUAAAUUAAACAGAUCCGUGUGGUUUGCAGCCCUGCGAAUCCUACGAUUAAUCAAACCCAUUGAAUUCAUUUAAUUCAAGUCUACAUUCAGGUGUUAGUACUUCGUUCUAUUUUCCACUUCCAUCACACAUUAAUCUCAAUCGUGUUCAAAUUAAGUGGGCCCAUUAGUAGUAUUAGCCCAGGGCCCCCUAAACUCACGGUCCGGCCCUGAACUCGCUCGUGUCUCGAUUUGAAUGUAAAAUAUGAAAAACGAAUAAGUAAUACAUAGAAGCUGGAUUGCCUUUACACACCCUCACAUAAUAUUGUAAGUAAUUAUUAUAUAACGCCGCACGUAGACCGCGUUCGUUUUUACGUUUUACCUUGAAAUUAAUUAAAAGUUUUCGUCAGUGCAACAGACGCGAAGUUUUUAAAAUCAAUUUGCAAAUAUCGCACACUACACAGCCUCACAUCUAUUACGACCGUGUAGAAAAUUAUAAAGAAAAAUCCCAAAAAUAAUACUAUGUAAUAAGUAGUUAGUGUUGUAUGCGGUGUGUUUACUUUGCUGAUGAAAUAACAUUUAAAUAACAAAAUGGGAGCUUCACGUAAAGUAAAUAUACUCAUAUCGGAAGUAUAGAGAUAUUAUUUAUUGUUUUUUUUUUUCCUUGUAAGAUAUGUAAAUAAUUGUGCAGAUGUAUUGUAUUAAUCGAGAUAACGUUGUAAGUUGUGUACCAAAUGUCGUUCUUGUGCAUUUUAAACGUUUAAUCGUUCGUGUUCGGUAUCGCCGGACACUCUUCCUCCGAUAGCUCCUGAAGUUAAUGCGCUCGUGUUUGAUUAAUUUUACGGUGAGCUGGUAUGAUUGACCCGAAUAAUUAAAUUGUAACUACAUUUGAUUGUAGUUAAUUGAAAUUCAAAAAAUGACAAUAUUAUCAUCAAAUUUGAGCUUAAUAAUAAUAUUAAAAAAAAAAAAUAAGCAUUUCUCUUUAUUUUACGAGCUCAUACAACGAGAUUCUUUACACUUCCUCGGUAGUGAGGCUUCCUUGGGUUUUAAAAAUGGCAAUUAUUUUAUUGACUACCGUCGUUUGUGAGCUUAUCGACUUUGCUUCAUUGGCUACUUUAUAUCAUGAAAUGUUAUUAUAGCUGCAACAAUUAUAAAGAUCUAAAAUAUCUUAUGUACGUUUGAAAGUCGAUAUAGUUUUACUUGCAAGAGUAAUAAUCAAUGUGAAAAUGAGCUACACACUGUUCUUUUUAAGUUCAGUUCCUACGAACUAGAGUGAUAAUUAAUGCUUAAAAAUUAUUGGCAGAGUGUAAAUGUAAAUGUAUAAACUAUUGCGGAAACGUGAGUUUCUAUAAUUGUCUCCGUGUCUUACUAAUAUAACAUUAAAUCCUUAAACAAAGCUAUUUAUUUUAAGGUAGUAAAAUAUAGUGAGUAUAAAUGUACGACUCUUGGCCGCAGUGGCGUAGCGAGGGGUGUAGGGGGACAAGAGGGCGUCGUACCCCGGGCGCUACUCACAACGAGGCGCCAAAUGGUCCGCCAAAUAAAAAAAUGCUGGACAUAUAUGGUUUUCGAAUGGGGGCUAAAAAGGUUUUAUGACCCGGGCGCGAAUUAAGCUCGCUACGUCACUGCUUGGCCGAAGUUCUUUUUUUUUAAUUUUUUAUUCAGACAUUGAGACAAUUGUCGUGUAUAUAUCAAUAUUAAAAUAUAUUUAUCCGCUUCUCAUCUAACUUUACGAUUCUAAUUUUUAUUCUGUUUCUGAGAUUAAGAACGAAGUAAUUAUUUAUUUUAUUUAAAUUCUUAUUUUGUUGAGACACUUCAAUCGUUGUACUUUUAUCUUAUACAUUCUUUGUUACCUUUAAAUAUACCUACAAUAUAAUUACAACAUAAAUUUAUGCUAUAAUGCUUGUUUUAAAUUUAGGGAACAGAGUAAAAAUCUAGGCUCAUUUUAACUGUAAAUUAUUUGUUUAUAAACAAUAAUGUAACCAACUGCAAUUUACAGUUAUGUACUUUUUCACUGUUUCCGUUUUCUUAAUAAAAUGUUGAAAAUAUUUUUGAAUUUUAUUUUGUUACAAGCUGCCCGGACAGACUGUUCCGUCAAAAGUUAAUAGUAAAAAUUAUUUUUUUGUUAGUAUUAAAACCGGACCUUAAGGAACACACAAAAAAAGUAUAGCCGAAUUGGUCGGUCCAUUCUCAAGUUAUGCGCUUAGCAACUAUCAUUUUUAUUUAUAUAGAUUAAUGUUGGGGAAAGAUUAGAAAAAGCCAUUGAAAAAAACGCUUAAUUACGA